Molecule: ribosomal RNA, 119 nt
Filed under: Pteropus alecto (black flying fox)
Lineage: Eukaryota; Metazoa; Chordata; Mammalia; Chiroptera; Pteropodidae
Source: RNAcentral
GUCUAUGGCCAUGACACCCUGAACACAUCCGAUCUCAUCUGAUCUUGAAAGCUAAGCAGAGUCAGGCCUGGUUAGUACUUGGAUGGGAAACCACCUAGGAAUGCCAGGUGUUAUAAGCG